RNAcentral lists this ribosomal RNA (305 nucleotides) under uncultured bacterium. Its description in RNAcentral is "bacterial SSU rRNA". It matches the Rfam family "Bacterial small subunit ribosomal RNA", at positions 335 to 632 of the family's 1533-position model. The record is from RNAcentral.
GCACCUACGGGGGGCAGCAGUGGGGAAUUUUGGACAAUGGGCGCAAGCCUGAUCCAGCUAUUCCGCGUGUGGGAAGACGGCCUUCGGGUUGUAAACCACUUUUGUAGAGAACGAAAAGUCUAUUGAUAAUACCGAUAGACGAUGACGGUACUCUAAGAAUAAGCACCGGCUAACGACGUGCCAGCAGCCGCGGUAAUACGUAGGGUGCGAGCGUUAAUCGGAAUUACUGGGCGUAAAGGGUGUGCAGGCGGAUUUGCAAGAUGGAUGGGAAAGCCCCGGGCUUAACCUGGGGAAGGCAAACAAGA